CUGGGAAGAGCUCAUGGCGAAAUCCGCCGUCGUUGCGACGGUCCGGAUAUUUCGCGUAUAGGAGAGACGCUUCCGAACGCCGACUCCGGUGUAAGUCCCCCUGACUGGGGCUCCUACCCCGAGAGGGUGCAAGGCCCGUAGCGGCCGGCGUCGGCUUCGGAUGUCCUCUCCGGGGAGUCGGGUUGCUUGAGAGUGCAGCCCCAAUCGGGUGGUAAACUCCAUCUAAGGCUAAAUACGACCCGGAGACCGAUAGCGAACAAGUACCGUGAGGGAAAGUUGAAAAGGACUUUGAAGAGAGAGUUCAAGAGUACGUGAAACCGUUCGAAGGUAAACGAGUGGGCCCUCGAAGCCGUAAGGCGGGGGGACUCAGCCGGGCGCCUCGGGCCCGCCGCCGCACGCGCGCUUCCCCACCGGGACGCGCCGCGGCGGAAGCGGCUCGGGUUCCCGGCGCAUUUCCUCCCGCCCUCGGACGCUGCGACCGGUCGCGCGUGCCACGAGCGGUCGGCCUUACUCGCGGGGACCGGCAGGUAGCGGGGAUAGUGCUUCGGCGCCUUCCCCGUGUUUAGCCACCCCGCGAUCGAGAGCCGUUCGCGCGACCGAAGGACUCGGCCCUCAGGGGCCUCUCCGCGCCUUCCCACUCGGGAUCGGCCGCCCCCGUGCAGGGUCGCCGUCGUCCUCGCC
Molecule: ribosomal RNA, 681 nt
Filed under: Calicina topanga
Lineage: Eukaryota; Metazoa; Arthropoda; Arachnida; Opiliones; Phalangodidae
Description: eukaryotic LSU rRNA
Rfam family: Eukaryotic large subunit ribosomal RNA
Source: RNAcentral